RNAcentral lists this ribosomal RNA (253 nucleotides) under uncultured bacterium. Its description in RNAcentral is "partial 16S ribosomal RNA". It matches the Rfam family "Bacterial small subunit ribosomal RNA", at positions 524 to 776 of the family's 1533-position model. The record is from RNAcentral.
UACGUAGGGUGCAAGCGUUAAUCGGAAUUACUGGGCGUAAAGCGUGCGCAGGCGGUUUUGUAAGACUGUCGUGAAAUCCCCGGGCUUAACCUGGGAAUGGCGAUGGUGACUGCAAGGCUAGAGUUUGGCAGAGGGGGGUAGAAUUCCACGUGUAGCAGUGAAAUGCGUAGAGAUGUGGAGGAACACCGAUGGCGAAGGCAGCCCCCUGGGUCAAGACUGACGCUCAUGCACGAAAGCGUGGGGAGCAAACAAG